RNAcentral lists this ribosomal RNA (87 nucleotides) under Gammaproteobacteria bacterium. Lineage: Bacteria; Pseudomonadati; Pseudomonadota; Gammaproteobacteria. The record is from RNAcentral.
UGAUUCCAUUCCGAACUCAGAAGUGAAAACGUUUUGCGCCGAUGAUAGUAUGGGGCCUCCCCAUGUGAAAGUAGGACACUGCCAGGC